This 253-nucleotide ribosomal RNA is filed under the name uncultured bacterium. RNAcentral's name for it is "partial 16S ribosomal RNA". It matches the Rfam family "Bacterial small subunit ribosomal RNA", at positions 524 to 776 of the family's 1533-position model. The record is from RNAcentral.
UACGUAGGGGGCAAGCGUUAUCCGGAUUUACUGGGUGUAAAGGGAGCGUAGACGGCCAGACAAGUCUGAAGUGAAAAUCCAGCGCUUAACGUUGGAAGUGCUUUGGAAACUGCCGGGCUGGAGUGCAGGAGGGGCAGGCGGAAUUCCUAGUGUAGCGGUGGAAUGCGUAGAUAUUAGGAGGAACACCAGUGGCGAAGGCGGCCUGCUGGACUGCAACUGACGUUGAGGCUCGAAGGCGUGGGGAGCAAACAGG